RNAcentral lists this ribosomal RNA (457 nucleotides) under Granulicatella adiacens. RNAcentral's name for it is "bacterial SSU rRNA". It matches the Rfam family "Bacterial small subunit ribosomal RNA", at positions 28 to 474 of the family's 1533-position model. The record is from RNAcentral. Lineage: Bacteria; Bacillati; Bacillota; Bacilli; Lactobacillales; Carnobacteriaceae.
GACGAACGCUGGCGGCGUGCCUAAUACAUGCAAGUCGAACGAGAGCGACCGGUGCUUGCACUGGUCAAUCUAGUGGCGAACGGGUGAGUAACACGUGGGUAACCUGCCCAUCAGAGGGGGAUAACAUCCGGAAACGGAUGCUAAAACCGCAUAGGUCCUUUAACCGCAUGGUUGAAGGAGGAAAAGAGGCGCAAGCUUCUGCUGAUGGAUGGACCCGCGGUGCAUUAGCUAGUUGGUGAGGUAACGGCUCACCAAGGCCGUGAUGCAUAGCCGACCUGAGAGGGUGAUCGGCCACAUUGGGACUGAGACACGGCCCAAACUCCUACGGGAGGCAGCAGUAGGGAAUCUUCCGCAAUGGACGCAAGUCUGACGGAGCAACGCCGCGUGAGUGAAGAAGGUUUUCGGAUCGUAAAACUCUGUUGUUAGAGAAGAACAAGUGCUAGAGUAACUGUUAGCG